Molecule: long non-coding RNA, 536 nt
Organism: Ctenopharyngodon idella (grass carp)
Lineage: Eukaryota; Metazoa; Chordata; Actinopteri; Cypriniformes; Xenocyprididae
Exons: 3
Source: RefSeq, a predicted model, not a curated record
AACCUUUGCACUCGCGUGUCACGUCCUUUGCGACGUCUCGCGCAUGACACGGCAUUUGAAUUUGGAAAAGAAACACAAAACUGACGGGAGCCGCUCCGGUGGAGAACAGUGACUGGAUCUAACACCUUCAGAUGACACACAGUUCACAUCUCUGCGCAGAUGAACCAAAAGAACUCGGGUCCCGGUGAACUCCAGCACUCCCCUGACAGUUCAUACAGCCUCCCUGCUCCAAGUGUGUCUCAAAGUUCACUGCAAGUGCACCAAAAAUAGAAACGUUAAUGACGCUGACGUUCCCCUCCAUCCUCCCCACCACCACCAGGUUGGCCCUGUCCAUCCAUCAGGGGUAGGCUCCGCCCCUGCCUUUAUCUUCAGGCAGGAUCAGCCAAAUCUGCAUCCCCAGGAUUCGGACGAAGGACGGGGCCUAUGCCAAAGAACUUUUCCGUACAACUAAACAUGAAACAUUGUACCAUGUUUAAUUGUACCAUCUGUCACUACCAUCUGUUUAUACUUUAUGGAAUAAAUACCAUGUAAACGUU